UACGUAGGGGGCAAGCGUUGUCCGGAAUCAUUGGGCGUAAAGCGCGUGUAGGCGGCCCGGUAAGUCCGCUGUGAAAGUCGGGGGCUCAACCUCGGAUGCCCGGUGGAUACUGGUCGGGCUAGAGUGCGGGAGAGGCGAGUGGAAUUCCUGGUGUAGCGGUGAAAUGCGCAGAUAUCAGGAGGAACACCAAUUGCGAAGGCAGCUCGCUGGAACGUUACUGACGCU
This 225-nucleotide ribosomal RNA is filed under the name uncultured bacterium. Its description in RNAcentral is "partial 16S ribosomal RNA". It matches the Rfam family "Bacterial small subunit ribosomal RNA", at positions 524 to 747 of the family's 1533-position model. The record is from RNAcentral.